CCUACGGGAGGCAGCAGUGGGGAAUUUUGGACAAUGGGCGCAAGCCUGAUCCAGCAAUGCCGCGUGCAGGAUGAAGGCCUUCGGGUUGUAAACUGCUUUUGUACGGAGCGAAACGGUCUGCUUUAAUACAGUAGGCUAAUGACGGUACCGUAAGAAUAAGCACCGGCUAACUACGUGCCAGCAGCCGCGGUAAUACGUAGGGUGCGAGCGUUAAUCGGAAUUACUGGGCGUAAAGCGUGCGCAGGCGGUUAUAUAAGACAGAUGUGAAAUCCCCGGGCUCAACCUGGGACCUGCAUUUGUGACUGUAUAGCUAGAGUACGGUAGAGGGGGAUGGAAUUCCGCGUGUAGCAGUGAAAUGCGUAGAUAUGCGGAGGAACACCGAUGGCGAAGGCAAUCCCCUGGACCUGUACUGACGCUCAUGCACGAAAGCGUGGGGAGCAAACAGGAUUAGAUACCCUGGUAGUCCACGCCCUAAACGAUGUCAACUGGUUGUUGGGUCUUCACUGACUCAGUAACGAAGCUAACGCGUGAAGUUGACCGCCUGGGGGAGGACGGCCGCGAGGUUAGUAAACGUUAAAGGUAAAGUUAGUACGGCGUGAGACGUAGCCGACGGACGACGACGAGGGGAGGUUAGG
RNAcentral lists this ribosomal RNA (635 nucleotides) under uncultured bacterium. RNAcentral's name for it is "bacterial SSU rRNA". It matches the Rfam family "Bacterial small subunit ribosomal RNA", at positions 338 to 961 of the family's 1533-position model. The record is from RNAcentral.